ACUAGCAACCCCAACUGAUAAGCCUACAGCUUAAGAAAUUAGCGUAAAAAUCGAUAGUGUGUUCAUAAAAUUGAUUGUAAAACAAUAAAUUUUAAUAUUGACCAUUAUAAAAGUUAUAUGAAAUAAAUCAGUGAUAAAUUGUCUUCAAAAUGAUAUAAAAUUCAUUAUUCAUGCAUAAUAUGCAUUUUAAUCAUUAUCAGUUAAUCUUAAUAUACAGGUGUAUUUUCGGCCGAUUUCACAAAACCCGAUUGUGGACACGCGCUUGUCACAUGUAUGCCGCAUGACCUUAUUUGCGGGUCAUUUGUUGCUUAUUAAUAUUCAUGAUUUUUUGCAACCAAUCAGAAAUAUGUUUACAUUUCACCGCGGAAUUUUCGUCAUUUAAAUAUGUUUACAAACAAAAAAGUUAUGACGCCCGAUACUCGCCGACGAUUUGCUUGAAAACUAUCGGUGCAUGACCGACCUGACAAAAAAAAAUAUCAUGAAAUAAUAUUGAUGAUGACAAUAUUUGACAACACUUGGAUCAUUUGGACAAAUAUAAGAUGACAAACCAAUGCUGUUAAUGAAUAAAUCUUGUCAUAUAGUAGUAUACAUUACCAAACACAACAAGAACUGUCCCAAAAUUAUUAAUGGGGAUGCUGAGAUGUCUGCUUUAUAUUCAUUGAAAUCCCAAAUCAGCUAUGUUAAGAAAUGGAGUCGACUAAUUUCAAAGAUAAUGGUUAAAGAUGAAACUCCUUUAAAAAACAUCUGGAAAAGGGGAGAAGCAGAUCCUUCAAUAGCAUUUAAAAAGUAUAUGAUACCAACUGGCAUUUAUCUGCAAAAUAUAUGAUAACAGUAUACAUUACCAAUCAUUGCAAGAACUGCCCCAAAAUUGUAAUGUGGAAGUAUGUUUAAUUGCCGAGAUGUAUGCUUAUUCAUUGAAAUCCGAUGAAAUGAAGUCAACUAAUUUCAAAGAAAAUGGUUAAAGAUGAAGAAGACUCCUUUUAAAACAAAUCUGGAAAAUGGGAGAAGCAGAUCCUUAUAAAUAACAUUAAUUAAUUUAAACAAUUAUGUCCUACUGACUGGCAUUUAUCGGCAAAAUAAAUCAUAUUGAUAUUAUAGAGCUCUUGACAAAGACAACUGAUAUCCAGGUGCAUCAAUUUAUGUUAGCAAUGAAAAACAUUCUUAAUUUUGAUCUCAAUUAAUAGCAAAUCAAAUCAAUUUCAUUUCUUUUGGUCUAGUGAGGAAUUUCGGGCUGUUUGACUUAUGUUCAAUUUAGAAUAUACUGCUAUAAUUCGAGACUGCGGGAGUUCUGGAAGAAGAGAGUUAUUUACUAACUGCAAAAGAAGUGAAUAAUUAUUUUUUGAGAAGAGAAAAAAAAAGAUAAAAGCAUGACAUUGCAGAUGCUGUAGAGCAAUUUGAUAUUCAUUCAUGUUGGAUUUCAUUAUACAGUGCUGCUGUAGUUUCUUGUUACUUUAUAUAUGUCGAUAAAUGAAAAAUGAAUAAAUUUUUUCAAAAAAUUUAUCGAUACCUUGCCCACUGUAUUAGACUAAGUAAUUGCUCUUCUACAUUUAAUGGUCUGUAAAAUAACACAGUUAUAUUCAGUAACACCUAAUCUACCUAUAUUCCAAAUUUCAUCAAAAUAUCUCAAAUAAUAAAAAAGUUAUGGUAUUUUAAAUGUGAAAUUUGUCAUAAACGAAGUCAUUUCGGUUCCGUCAACGCGCAAGCAUUUCUUAUUGACUGUAUAUAGUAAAAAUUCUUAAAAAAUGCGCAAAUUUCAACAUUAUUAAAUGCCAUAACUUUUUUAUUUUUAAAGAUAUUUAGAAAAGGAAAACUGUUCUGAAAUGCUUAUAAUGAGCACUAUAAGAUGAAAUAAAUUGUUUAUAAAUACAAUAAAAUAAAAAAAUUGG
Molecule: long non-coding RNA, 1886 nt
Organism: Ruditapes philippinarum (Manila clam)
Lineage: Eukaryota; Metazoa; Mollusca; Bivalvia; Venerida; Veneridae
Exons: 2
Source: RefSeq, a predicted model, not a curated record